Molecule: transfer RNA, 76 nt
Filed under: Limosilactobacillus fermentum
Lineage: Bacteria; Bacillati; Bacillota; Bacilli; Lactobacillales; Lactobacillaceae
Description: Lactobacillus fermentum tRNA-Thr
Source: RNAcentral
AGCCACCGUAGCUUAAUAGGUAGAGCGUCAUUCAUGGUAAGGGUGAAGGAGCUGGUUCAACCCCAGCGGGUGGCUU